RNAcentral lists this ribosomal RNA (213 nucleotides) under Triticum aestivum (bread wheat). Its description in RNAcentral is "partial small subunit ribosomal RNA". The record is from RNAcentral. Lineage: Eukaryota; Viridiplantae; Streptophyta; Magnoliopsida; Poales; Poaceae.
AUGGUUAGCUGGCCUGACAUCUGCAAGCCUAGGGAUCAAGGAGGCCUCGGGAUCAUGUGCUCCAAGCGCAUGAAUAUCGCCCUCCUAUCCCGCUGGCUCUGGCGCAUCUCGCAAGGCCAGGGGGGCCUUUGGCUUGACAUCAUCUGGAACAAGUAUCUGCGUGGUCAACCCCUUGCCUUUUGUCAGAGAUCUGGUGGCUCACAGUUCUGGUAG